This 1376-nucleotide ribosomal RNA is filed under the name uncultured bacterium. RNAcentral describes it as "bacterial SSU rRNA". It matches the Rfam family "Bacterial small subunit ribosomal RNA". The record is from RNAcentral.
AGAGUUUGAUCCUGGCUCAGGAUGAACGCUGGCGGCGUGCUUAACACAUGCAAGUCGAACGAAGUAGGAGGGUGCUUGCACCUUCCUACUGAGUGGCGGACGGGUGAGUAACACGUGGAUAAUCUGCCCUGCACAGGGGGACAACAGCUAGAAAUGGCUGCUAAUACCGCAUAAGCCUACAGCCUCGCAUGAGGGAGUAGGAAAAGAAAUUCGGUGCAGGAUGAGUCCGCGUCUGAUUAGCUAGUUGGAGGGGUAAAAGCCCACCAAGGCAACGAUCAGUAGCCGGCCUGAGAGGGCGACCGGCCACAUUGGGACUGAGACACGGCCCAAACUCCUACGGGAGGCAGCAGUGGGGAAUAUUGCACAAUGGGGGGAACCCUGAUGCAGCGACGCCGCGUGAGCGAGGAAGUAUUUCGGUAUGUAAAGCUCUAUCAGCAGGGACGAAGAAAGACGGUACCUGACUAAGAAGCCCCGGCUAACUACGUGCCAGCAGCCGCGGUAAUACGUAGGGGGCAAGCGUUAUCCGGAAUCACUGGGUGUAAAGGGAGCGUAGACGGCUGAGCAAGCCUGAAGUGAAAGGCGGGGGCCCAACCCCUGGACUGCUUUGGGAACUGUACGGCUGGAGUGCAGGAGAGGUAAGUGGAAUUCCUAGUGUAGCGGUGAAAUGCGUAGAUAUUAGGAGGAACACCAGUGGCGAAGGCGGCUUACUGGACUGUAACUGACGUUGAGGCUCGAAAGCGUUGGGAGCAAACAGGAUUAGAUACCCUGGUAGUCCACGCUGUAAACGAUGAAUACUAGGUGUUGGGGGCUGAAGCCUUCGGUGCCGCAGCAAACGCAAUAAGUAUUCCACCUGGGGAGUACGUUCGCAAGAAUGAAACUCAAAGGAAUUGACGGGGACCCGCACAAGCGGUGGAGCAUGUGGUUUAAUUCGAAGCAACGCGAAGAACCUUACCAAGCCUUGACAUCCCCCUGACAGGGUAUGUAAUGUACCUUACCUUCGGGACAGGGGAGACAGGUGGUGCAUGGUUGUCGUCAGCUCGUGUCGUGAGAUGUUGGGUUAAGUCCCGCAACGAGCGCAACCCUUACCCACAGUAGCCAGCACAAAGGGUGGGCACUCUGUGGGGACUGCCGGGGACAACCCGGAGGAAGGUGGGGAUGACGUCAAAUCAUCAUGCCCCUUAUGGCCGGGGCUACACACGUGCUACAAUGGCGUAAACAAAGGGAAGCGAGAGAGUGAUCUUAAGCGAAACUCAAAAAUAACGUCCCAGUUCGGAUUGCAGUCUGCAACUCGACUGCAUGAAGCUGGAAUCGCUAGUAAUCGCGGAUCAGAAUGCCGCGGUGAAUACGUUCCCGGGUCUUGCACUCACCGCCCGUCA